GUCCUACGGGAGGCAGCAGUGGGGAAUAUUGCACAAUGGGGGGAACCCUGAUGCAGCAACGCCGCGUGAAGGAAGACGGUUUUCGGAUUGUAAACUUCUUUUCUUAGUGAAGAAGCAAGUGACGGUAGCUAAGGAAUAAGCAUCGGCUAACUACGUGCCAGCAGCCGCGGUAAUACGUAGGAUGCGAGCGUUAUCCGGAAUUACUGGGUGUAAAGGGAGCGCAGGCGGGACUGCAAGGUGGAUGUGAAAGACCGCAGCUUAACUGGGGGGGUGCAUCCAAAACUGAAGUUCUUGAGGGGAGUAGG
RNAcentral lists this ribosomal RNA (305 nucleotides) under uncultured bacterium. RNAcentral describes it as "bacterial SSU rRNA". It matches the Rfam family "Bacterial small subunit ribosomal RNA", at positions 335 to 655 of the family's 1533-position model. The record is from RNAcentral.